RNAcentral lists this ribosomal RNA (253 nucleotides) under uncultured bacterium. RNAcentral's name for it is "partial 16S ribosomal RNA". It matches the Rfam family "Bacterial small subunit ribosomal RNA", at positions 524 to 776 of the family's 1533-position model. The record is from RNAcentral.
UACAGAGGUCUCAAGCGUUGUUCGGAAUUACUGGGCGUAAAGGGUGCGCAGGCCGCGCGGGCAGUCAAAUGUGUAAUUCAGGGGCUCAACCCCUGCACUGCGCUUGAUACUUCCGCGCUCGAGCUUUGGAGAGGAGUCUGGAAUUCUCGGUGUAGCAGUGAAAUUCGUAGAUAUUCGCAAGAACACCAGUGGCGAAGGCGGCUUACUGGUCCGGUUCUGACGCUGAGGCGCGAAAGCGUGGGGAGCAAACAGG